ACUAUUACCAACAGGUGGCGCUAUGACUUUUCCAAAAUUUAUGAGUGUGGAUGUGUUCAGACUGGACCUGGUAUCCAGCAUGUGAAGUCUGAGGCAGAUAGGAUGUUGUUCAGCUGAGAUAUGAAUCGUUAAAUUUUCAUGGCGAAACAUCAAAAUUGGUUUGGCCGCCACAGACACGCCCUUUGAUGACAAGUCACCAUUUUCACUGGGAUGCAUCAUCAAUGUGUUUAGGCUGUUGUCACUGCAUUUGAAGUGAAUAUGAUCAACCGGGUAACAAUAGGGCAUGAAAGUGUAAAAGAUGUCUAUUUCCUGAAACCACAAGGUGGCGCUAUGACUGUCAAUGAAUAUCCCUAUGUGGAUGACAUCAGGACAGGACUGUCAUCAUACAUGUAAAGUUUCAGGCAGAUUGGAGCAUGUUGAGAAGAAUUAGACACCACUUCCUGUUUCAUGGCGAAGGAUCAGUUGUUUGAGGCUCCGCCAUGGCCACACCUUUUGGCUUCUGGUUGAGUUUUUGAUAACUUUUCAUCAGAAAGGUCUGGUGCAUGUACUGGCCAAAUUUCAGUUCUCUCAGACUUAUCCACUAGGAGCUAUAAAUUUUGACAAAUGUACAGAAAAUUCAAGAUGGCCGACUUCCUGUUGGGUUUAGGGUGUGGCUGUGAUUGACUUUUUGGUGUGUCCUGAUGUGGUGCAUAUGCCCACCAAAUAUUGUAGCUGUAAAUAAAACAUUGUGGAAGUUGGCCUAAUGACCACUUUUUCAAUUUUGCAGGUGGCGCUAUAGAGCCAUUUUUUCACACAUAUGCGCAACUCCCAUAAAAUAUCAAAUUUUUCGCCAGUCCUGAUGUGCACGCCAAAUUUCACGCGUUUUGGUUCAUGAUAAGGCCGCCAAAAAGGCAAGUCAUUUCCCGAGGAGCGAUUAAGUUUGAAAAAUUUACAACAAAUUGAAGAUGGCCGACUUCCUGUUGGGUUUAGGGCGUGGCUGUAAUUGACUUUUUGGUGUGUCCAGAUGUUCUGCAUAUGCCCACCAAAUAUUGUAGCUGUACAUGAAACAUUGUGGCAGUUGGCCUAAUGACUACUUUUUCAACUUUGCAGGUGGCGCUAUAGAGCCAUUUUGCCACGCACAUGCGCAACUCCCAUAAAAUAUCAAAUUUUUCGCCAGUCCUGAUGUGCAUGCCAAAUUUCACGCGUUUUGGAGUAUGAUAAGGCCGCCAAAAAGCCAAUUUACUUUACGGGAGAAAAAAAAAAAAAAAUAAUAAUAAUAAUAAUUAAAGCUGCAAGCAGCGAUGGACGGGUCCUCGCAUCCACGCUGGUCGUGAAUCCACGCACGUCCACCAGGUGGCGCUGUGACUGAGAGUGUAUGUCGGCCUCUGAAUCGCAUCUGGACCAGAGUCCAAUCAUACAUGUAAAAUUUCAGCCAGACUGUAGCAUGUUCAGAGCAGUUAUAGAGCAUUUCCUGUCUAUCCACCAGGUGGCGCUGUAACUCAGAGUGUAUUUCACACAGUGGAUGUGAUGAGGGUUGGACUCUGAUCACUCAUGAAAAGUUUCAGGCUGAUUUGAUCAUGUAGAGGCCAGUUAUACAGCAUUUACUGUCCCUCCAACAGGUGGCGCCGCGACUGAGAGUGUCUGUUGGCCUGUAGAUGUGAUCAGGAUUGGAUUGUGAUCACACAUGGAAAGUUUGAGGCAGAUUGGAGCAUGCAGAGGAGAGUUAUACAGCAGUUGAUGUUUCAUGGCGAAGCAUCAAAACGCUGAUGGUCGCCAUGGCCACGCCAUUUGGCUUCUGGUUAAACUUUUGAUAACUUUUCAUCACCAAGUCCUGCUGUGUGGACUGACAAAAUUUCAGGUCUCCUGGAAUUAUCCCCUAGGAGGUAUUAACUCUCAAAAAUGAGAAAAAUCAUCAAAAAUCUCACAAUUAAUCCAAGAUGGCCGAC
Acanthochromis polyacanthus (spiny chromis) is the source of this 1925-nucleotide long non-coding RNA. RefSeq lists it as uncharacterized. Lineage: Eukaryota; Metazoa; Chordata; Actinopteri; Pomacentridae. The transcript is spliced from 3 exons. The record is from RefSeq and is a predicted model, not a curated record.